Molecule: ribosomal RNA, 369 nt
Filed under: Triticum aestivum (bread wheat)
Lineage: Eukaryota; Viridiplantae; Streptophyta; Magnoliopsida; Poales; Poaceae
Description: partial small subunit ribosomal RNA
Source: RNAcentral
AUGGCGACACCAUCGGAAGCUAGCGAAUUGGGACCAAAGUUUCCGGAGGAUCCGAGUGUUCUACUAGAGAGGCUACAUCUGGAAGAUGACGAGCUUGACAAUAUGGUUUGGGAGGAGGAGGCGGAUGAACCAGAUGAGAAACCUAAGUGGUUAGCCCUAGCUAGGGUUUUGACGACCAAGUCUUUUGGUCAAGGAGCUUUGAUCGCUGACAUGAGAGCGGCCUGGAACCCUGCGCAAGAAGUAGUGUGGAGGAGAAUAAACCCAAAUCUGUUCUUCGUGCAGUUUAAUUGUCUUGAUGAGUGGAACAAGGCAAUUGUCGGUGUCAAAGCCGGCGGAUCUCGGGUAGGGGGUCCCGAACUGUGCGUCUAA